GCUAUACAUGCAGUCGAGCGGACCGAACGGAAGCUUGCUUCUGUUCGGUUAGCGGCGGACGGGUGAGUAACACGUGGGUAACCUGCCCGUAAGACCGGGAUAACUCCGGGAAACCGGGGCUAAUACCGGAUAACACCGAAGACCGCAUGGUCUUCGGUUGAAAGGUGGCUUUUGCUACCACUUACGGAUGGGCCCGCGGCGCAUUAGCUAGUUGGUGAGGUAACGGCUCACCAAGGCGACGAUGCGUAGCCGGCCUGAGAGGGUGACCGGCCACACUGGGACUGAGACACGGCCCAGACUCCUACGGGAGGCAGCAGUAGGGAAUCUUCCGCAAUGGACGAAAGUCUGACGGAGCGACGCCGCGUGAGCGAAGAAGGUCUUCGGAUCGUAAAGCUCUGUUGUUAGGGAAGAAGAAGUACCGUUCGAAUAGGGCGGUACGGUGACGGUACCUAACGAGAAAGCCCCGGCUAACUACGUGCCAGCAGCCGCGGUAAUACGUAGGGGGCGAGCGUUGUCCGGAAUUAUUGGGCGUAAAGCGCGCGCAGGCGGUCCCUUAAGUCUGAUGUGAAAGCCCACGGCUCAACCGUGGAGGGUCAUUGGAAACUGGGGGACUUGAGUGCAGAAGAGGAGAGCGGAAUUCCACGUGUAGCGGUGAAAUGCGUAGAGAUGUGGAGGAACACCAGUGGCGAAGGCGGCUCUCUGGUCUGUAACUGACGCUGAGGCGCGAAAGCGUGGGGAGCAACAGGAUUAGAUACCCUGGUAGUCCACGCCGUAACGAUGAGUGCUAAGUGUUAGAGGGGUUNNNCCUUUAGUGCUGUAGCUAACGCGUUAAGCACUCCG
RNAcentral lists this ribosomal RNA (840 nucleotides) under Parageobacillus toebii. Its description in RNAcentral is "bacterial SSU rRNA". It matches the Rfam family "Bacterial small subunit ribosomal RNA", at positions 48 to 871 of the family's 1533-position model. The record is from RNAcentral. Lineage: Bacteria; Bacillati; Bacillota; Bacilli; Caryophanales; Anoxybacillaceae.